GACGAACGCUGGCGGCGUGCUUAACACAUGCAAGUCGAACGGAAAGGCCCUGCUUUUGUGGGGUGCUCGAGUGGCGAACGGGUGAGUAACACGUGAGUAACCUGCCCUUGACUUUGGGAUAACUUCAGGAAACUGGGGCUAAUACCGGAUAGGAGCUCCUGCUGCAUGGUGGGGGUUGGAAAGUUUCGGCGGUUGGGGAUGGACUCGCGGCUUAUCAGCUUGUUGGUGGGGUAGUGGCUUACCAAGGCUUUGACGGGUAGCCGGCCUGAGAGGGUGACCGGCCACAUGGGGCAGGAGAUACGGCCGAGACUCCGACGGGAGGCAGCAGUGGGGAAUAGUGCACAAUGGGCGGAAGCCUGAUGCAGCAACGCCGCGGGCGGGAUGACGGCCUUCGGGUUGUAAACCGCUUUCGCCUGUGACGAAGCGUGAGGGACGGUAAUGGGUAAAGAAGCACCGGCUAACUACGUG
RNAcentral lists this ribosomal RNA (468 nucleotides) under uncultured bacterium. Its description in RNAcentral is "partial 16S ribosomal RNA". It matches the Rfam family "Bacterial small subunit ribosomal RNA", at positions 28 to 507 of the family's 1533-position model. The record is from RNAcentral.